UACGAAGGGGGCUAGCGUUGCUCGGAAUCACUGGGCGUAAAGGGCGCGUAGGCGGCGUUUUAAGUCGGGGGUGAAAGCCUGUGGCUCAACCACAGAAUGGCCUUCGAUACUGGGACGCUUGAGUAUGGUAGAGGUUGGUGGAGCUGCGAGUGUAGAGGUGAAAUUCGUAGAUAUUCGCAAGAACACCGGUGGCGAAGGCGGCCAACUGGACCAUCACUGACGCUGAGGCGCGAAAGCGUGGGGAGCAAACAGG
This 253-nucleotide ribosomal RNA is filed under the name uncultured bacterium. RNAcentral describes it as "partial 16S ribosomal RNA". It matches the Rfam family "Bacterial small subunit ribosomal RNA", at positions 524 to 776 of the family's 1533-position model. The record is from RNAcentral.